UGUGUUUAAAAAGUAAAGGGAUCUGAAUACUUCCGAAUGCUCUGUCUCUGUCAUCACUCCUAAUAUUGGUUGGACAUAACUCACAAUGUCAGUGGCUCUGUAAAUACAUAAUGUUGUGAGGGUCUUAUAGAAUCCUGGAGUUGGUAUAUUAUAUUACUUGUACAUAAAGCUUUUGUGAAAUAAUACAAGGCCAUUUUACUGAUGAAUUGACUGAAUAAUAAUUCAACCUGUGUCCCAAUUAACAGGCAAAUCAUAACUAUAACUUGCAGAAACUUCUUUCACCAACUUUUCAUUUUGUAACAGGUGGUAUGUAUUGUUGUGUUGAAUAGAAAAUAUACAACUGCUAGGUCUCCUGAGGUGCACAUGUAGAGCUAGCAAGAGCAUGUAUGAUUUAGUCCUCGAUAAAUUACUUGCAUACACAAAAUUGCCUUUCAUGUUUAGAGUGGUUGUGGGAACUGUGGUGCCUGCAGAUUUCCCCUCCCUCACUGGUGAUGUUGCAAAAGCAGAUUUCCCCUCCACCCAACUUGUCGCAGCCAUGCUGAUCGACGUCCCAACCUACACUGGCAGAAUGCCCAAAAGCUUCCUGAGUCCAUGCUUGUGAUGACAUUGCUGCUCGUGCUCAUUCUCGCGCUGCUCCGGUGGAGUAGUCCCAAAAUGGCAGCAGCCACGAUAUAGCGUUUGCGAACGACAGGGAUUGACCUGACUUUCAAGAAUUACUGAAUUGCUUCGCCUCUGGGUGGGCAUCAGACAUCUCUUCUUGUCAUUUACAGUAAUGCCCAGCCCGCCGGUGUGGGUCAGGAGCAUCUCUCUGUCUGACAGGUCCUGGGUCCUAGUCGGGGCACAAAUCAGCCAAUCACCCUGGUAAUUGAGGAUCAACAAUCCUCGGGAUGUGAGAGGUGCCAGGACAGCGUCCAUGCACUUUGUGAAAGUGCGGGGUGCCAAGGAGAGUCCUACGAGAAGAACCAUGAAUUCGUAAGCCGUCCCUUCGAAAGCGAAUCGGAGGUCCUGCCAAUGAGCUGGGUGAACAGGAACAUGGAAGUACGCAUCGCUCAGGUCCAGCAUAACAAACCACUGGUCCCUGGAAUGGCCUGCAACACGGGGGCUGGGGACAGCAUGUGGAACCUCAGUACCUUCAAGUAUCCAUUGAGGUUGCGGAGGUCCAGAUUUGGUCGAAACCCUCCGUCUCUUUUGGGGACCACAAAAUAAUGGGAGUAGAACCCACCUAGCCGUUCUGAUGUCUCGAUCCUGCGGAUGGCACCCUUGUCCAGGAGUGAGGAGAUCUCCAGCCGCAGGAUUUUCUUCAGGGGGUCGGCUACCGUGGUGACACGAAGGCCCCUGAAGGACGGGGGCCGGCACCGUAUUUGGAGUUGGUACCCCUCGAGCAUUGUAGACAACACCCCGUGGCACGGGCCAUAUCCCUCUGGAGCAGGGAAAGCAGGCGAGACACUUCCAUUGCUUCCCAAAGGAGCUCCUCUGUGCCCUCCUGCAGCCGGGGCAACAGAGUCUGCAGGUAGGCCUGCAGCAGCAUGGCCUCGUUGGUAAGGCAGCCAAGAGAGCAGAGGGACCCAUAUGUGUCUUUCAAGUCUGCAUCAAAGACUCUGGAGGGUCCCGGCUUCAGUCGCGGUUUCUGCCCUAUAAUCUCCCAGUGCGGGAGGACCAUGGCAGCUAUCAUGGUGUCCAUGGUCAGGUACUCCUGUAGGCCGAGUGACUCUGCACCUGCAACAUAACUCCAUGGUCCAGUCUCUUCUGUGAGUCGGAAGCGCCCCCUGGCAGAGGCCCAGCUCUCCUGCAAGGCCUCACAGAACUCAGCAGAGAUGGGGACAGAUGGAGAGUCAUCACUGUCCACCAGUUUGAUGUCCAGUGCAGUGGCUACCCGAGUGAGUAGGCUUCUCAUAGCCUCUCAAGCCGCUGGGGGUGAUGAAGCCCUCCUGGCGGCUUCUGAUGGCCUGUCAGCCUGGUAGCCCUGCAGUGCCAGUAUCGUCCCCCAGGAACAGCCCAUCACUGGCCAACAGGUAACAGCUGUCAUCACCAUCGAAGCUAUCAACUUCCGGAUGCAGGGCAUGCACCCUCUGUUCAAGGUGGUCCCAGCGGUCCGACUCCUGCCCCCGUCCAGGACUGGCAUCAGAUGGGCUCUGCCUGCGGUUGCUCCGGCCACGCUUCCUAGGAGGGGUACCUGGCUCAGUAGUGGGACUAACAGCUCGCUGAUGCACCACUCCUGAGGGAGGGAGCUCAUCCCCAGCCUGAGGCCGAGCCUGGCCGACCCAAUCGCGCAUGGCCUCCAUUGGCACAGGCACAGGCGUUCUGAGAACACCACACAAAACAGGCAUCCAGUAGGGCGCUCCACUGCCCUCCACAUGGCUCAAACCCAGGCAGUGCAUACAUGAGGUAUGCGGAUCCCCAGGGGGGAUGCCAACAUCAUACCUGUCACAAAGGGAAGCCAUAAGCUCAGCCAAGCCAACAAGGCCACGGAGCAGGGGUCUGGCGCCCUGGGAGAGCUUAUGCCGUGACUCGCUUGGAGGAAUAGGAACCCGGUGAGGGAUAAUUACCUAGUACCUCUGCAGAAAACGGUGAAGACCCGUGUGGGACAAGCAGGCAGACAAAAAAACAGCAACCAGGGGAAAGAACAAGACAAAAACCCACAGGGUAAUUAGCAGGACCCAACGCGGGGAGCAGCAUGUUAAAGCAAUUCACAACACACACAUAGAACAAGCCAGUCGGUAAGUUGUGUAAGGUAAAUUAAAGUUUGUGGCAGCAAGAGCCAACAUACUAGUGGAUGCACAUGGAGUCGUAGUGUAACACUAACGAAACACAAGUACGACAAACCAUGGGCGGAAGAUACAGAUCAACUGUGCGCAGUGAGUGGAGCACUCAAGAGGAGGGGCUGGCCAUGUGCCCAGCUGCUCCAGACAGCAAACAGCGAGUGAGUAUACUUCCACGCAAGAUAUUAUACUUAUCAGUGACUUACCAAGUGAACUUCAGAAAGUUUGUACCUCGAACCAUACAGAUGUCCGCCGAGAAAAUUAAAGAGAACGUGUGUCGCGGCCAUGGGGUCUAUAUAUAUGGGCGGACCCCAGCCGUGACACAGGUGUACACGGGAGUAAAUCUCUAAAUUCUCACCUCAGAUGUAUCCCUCUUCAGCGGAGUGAUCCAAUAUAGUAAAACACAACCACAGAUUAUCCAUCAUAUAGACCCCUUUCCAGUACGCGACACACUGACGUCACCCACAGAUGUGCAUGACUCUUGGCGGCAGUUAGAAAGCUAUCGCAAUUUGUCCCCAUUUAUCAUACAUUUAAGUUUUUAUUACUUCUAAACAAAAUAACUUUUGGGUUCCCAUGAUGUUUUGAUUCUAGCAUGAACAAUUACUAAGAUUAUAUUUGGUUGUGAUCUUUGCACAAUAACUAUUUUGGCUGCUGCAGUUGUGAGCUAGAAUACAAAUGCUAAUUGAAAUAGGCUGUAGAAAAAGCUAGCCAAGGAGGCAUUUUACUGGUUGAAGUUUAAGUGUUUUUUUAAAGUAUAAUGCAGUUGAUUUGCGAUUAUAACACAGACAUUAUAUUAAGUAGGACAUUCAUUCAUACGAGCCUUAAAAUCUGAUUAUAAUCCAAAAGUGUUGUGAAAAUUUCACUCAUAAGCAACAUUUAUUUUGCUGGCAUUCUAUAAGAACUUCCCCAUGUUCUGCCACCUACCUACGCGCAUCUCCUUCGUGCGGCAAUGUAUGCAAACACAGAAAGGGGUCUAUAGACCAGAUACUCAAGUGGCGGCUCUAACAAUUUAAAUAAAUGUCUUCAAAAAUGGAAGGCAGUCGGGAGGAGGCAAGAUCAGAGUGGAUCAUUCUAUCCAAUGAGUGGGCAUGUGUGAACAACGGGCACAACGCCCCAAAAAUUGUUUUCUUAUCAAAGUUACUCAAAGUACACUCAUGACAACCAAAUCAUUGUGAAACUUAUAUUCAAUCAAAUAAGCCACAUGUAGAAAAUAAACCAUACAUUUUUUGUUAACCAAAUUCAACACUCAUUGACCUCCAAACCAAAACUCCUCGCUUGGCGAGUUAAAAAAACGCCACCUGCUGGAGAAAACAGAUUUUAAACCCAGUUAUUCCUCUCACUUCACCGUUUCCUUUCUGGCAGAACUCCUAUCCACGGUACUGGUAGGAGUAUUUAGAAAGCAAUCUUGUUGUAUGAAUUUCCGAUAGUGGAAACGAUGCAUUUCGGAUAAUGGAACCUAAUCAGUGCACCAACGAAGGCUGGACAAAAACUAAGGGAGCUGUGACGCAUAUUCGAAAACUUCUGCUAUGCUCAAAAAGGUAAACUGAUUUGACUUUUUUGUUAUGAAACUGAGCAUUUGGCCGGGGUAGGCCAUCAUUGUAAAUAAGAAUUUGUUACAGUCUUGUCUCAUCGCUGCAACUGCUGUACGGACUCGGGAGAGACGACGGUCGAGAGCCGUGCGUCCUCCGAAACACAACCCAACCAAGCCGCACUGCUUCUUGACACAAUGCCCACUUAACCCGGAAGCCAGCCACACCAAUGUGUCGGAGGAAACACCGUACACUUGGCGACCAUGUCAGCGUGCACUGCACCUGGCCCGCCACAGGAGUCGCUAGUGCGCAAUGGGACAAGGACAUCCCUGGCGGUCAAACCCUCCCCUAAUCCGGACGACGCUGGGCCAAUUGUGCGCCGCCCCAUGGGUCUCCCGGUCGCGGCCGGCUGCGACAGAGCCUGGACUCGAACACAGAAUCUCUAGUGGCACAGCUAGCAUUGCGAUGCCUUAGAACACUGCGCCAAGAAUUUGAUCACAGGCCCAAGAAUUUGUUCUUAACUGACUUGCCUAGUUAAGUAAAGGUGAAAUAAAUAUCACAGAACUCUUCCAUAACUUUGACUCACUGCUUAAUCCCUCAGGCCCCAAAGAUUCAGGUACUUUACAAAAGUAUUAUAACCUUAGUAUAAUGACUGUCACUGAACAGGAUAGAAUAGACAAAUAUUUUACUGACAGCACUGAACUCUUCCACAACCUAGACUCACUGUUGAUUCCCCCCGAGGACAGGUUAAGACUGUGUCACUAAAUAUGAUAAUAAGCUCGACAAAGGACUAAGCUUUCCCAUUGUUUCCCCUGUAGGUACGUACAACCUGUAGGAUAUGAAUGAUAGUAUUGUUUACAUAGGUAGGCCUAUAUCCCUAAGCCCUGAAUGGCAGUAUUACCAUGUAUUCCCUCUGUGAUUUUUCCUUAUCUCCCAUCAGCCUCCCUGUUAAUGACAGUAAUAAUACAUUGCUAUUAUGUAUGGUGGUGUUUAGCUUGUAGACCUCUGCUCUGACAAACAGGGGGGAUGUUCAUGUUGUCGCAGUGGUAGAGGACUACACUGACUGGCAGCUACAUGCCCCCCUGGGUCACCAAAUUAGAUGCUAGCUUGCUUGCUAGGCAGAACAGGCUGGGUGUGUGACAAGCAAGGCAGACUCUGUGAAUGAAUGCAGAGCAGACAACCGAACACAACCACAGGUGAUUCUAGUUGAAUAUAAAUUGUGCAGUGACAAGGAAAGAGAAAAUUAUAGUGCUACCUUACUGCUUGCUUUCACCAAUGCCAUUAUAGCCCAUGUAUUGGAUUCGUUUUUGGAAAUGUAAUGUCAUUCCCAGACGUUUCCACCCAAAUACGCAAAGAGUCUGGUGGACCAAUGAGUCAAACUUGGAGAAACUCCUGGUGCAUAUGCAGUCUUAAUGGUCUUAAUUUACCAAUAAUCUCCCACAACACCUUCCCCCUCACCCUCCCCUGUAUAUGUCUUGUGCAGCUCGCAGUCGUAUAAUUUACCAAAAUGAAAUGAUAAUUACUUUACUCAGUUGUUCAAUCUAAUAGUAAUCUAUGUUCACUCCCAUUAAGGCAAACUUUGAAUUGUUGAAAUCCCAGGCUUAUAUGUGCUGUGCGCAAUAGGCUGGGGAUGAGGUUAUUGGUAAUGCAAUAGUCUAAUGUACUUUGACUUGCGAUGUUAGCUUAGGUGAGAGUAGUUUGUGUGUUUUUUAGUCCUUUUGUUUUCUUCACUCAUUUCAGAUGCCCUUCCCAUUGAACUACAAGCACAGUCAGAGAACUGUGUUAAAGCACAAGAACUUGAAAAUCUAGUUCAGUCCACGCAGCCGUAAGGUGCGUUGUCGGGUAGAGAAGCCUGUGGAGGUACCACAACCAUCAGACCGUGAGACGGAAGUGGGAAAGCUGCCCCAAGACCUCCCGACACGAUACCGGAGUCCAAGUUCAAAGACCUGUCUGUUUUUAACUUCAACUCCUCCUCCCAAGACUCGGGCUCCUCCUUUCCUCAGAGAGCGACUAACGAUGAGAAGAAGAAGGUGGCAACUAAGCCAAGAAAUGGUGGUGUCAGGAAGCCUGCAGCCUGGCAGAAACCAACAACACGUAAAGAAACCAAGCAGAAGAUCAAGAUGCAGAGGUUGGAGGCGAUCAACCGGCAGUGGGGCUUUGGUGGAGAAGGAGAUGUCAGAGAGGAAGGAGAGCAGGUCAUACACCAGCCCCUCUCAGCUAGAUAAGCUCUCUGCUAAACACCUCAAACAAAAUGAGAAAUCUACUACAAAGCCAGUUCUAUUCUCUCAUCCCAAGCACACUCCCAAACGAUCCUGUGCAGAAGAGAAAAACCUUUCACAGAGUACCCCGCAAAAAACAAGGUGUCUCCCGGCCAGGGUAGAUGUCAGACGGGAGAGGGUCCCACUCCCAGCUCUGCCUACCAUGUUGACAGCCCCAGACAGAAGGACCACCACCAGCACCAGGAGAUCCAGAGGAGGAGAGCACCAGAGGGGCAGCAGCCCUUGUUCCCCGGCCCCCCUGGGGAAGACAUCUCCAGGGAGAGUCUCACAGAGCAGCCCAGCUGUUGUGAAAAGAAACCACAAGGGAUAGACACCCCUGCACCUGGCUGCUAUAAAGGGAGAUGUGGAGACAGUGAAGGAGCUCCUAGACCAGGGGGCUGACCCCAACCUGAAAGACAACGCUGGAUGGACCCUACUGCAUGAAGCGUAUAACCUGGGCCACCAGUGUGUAGUGGAGGUGUUGGUUAGGAGAGGGGUGCUGUUGAACACACCAGGCAAUGAGAACGACUCUCAUAUACUUGACGCUGUCAACACGGAGCUUCACAGAGCGUUUUGAACGUGCUGUUUCACAUUGUCUUCAGUGUCUCUACGCUGCGCUGCUGCACACUGGAUUCGCAUAGCCCGUGUGUUCUUGUAUCAUAUUGUCACCAAUGAGCGAAUUCAUGUUACCAUGAUCCAUGCCUGUGUAACCCUAAUCUCCACAUCCAGAAAAUCUGUAUUUCAUGCAGGCCAGCUACUAGAUGGCAAAGGGAAUAUGUUUGGUCUUCGUCCUGUGGACUAUGCUGUGAACUCAGGCAAUCCUUCAGUCAGCCUCUGAAGGAUCCCAACUCCCCUCUCAGUCCUCCACCCAACCUCAGUAAGUCUAUUGUGUUUCAGGCCAGUGAUGGGGUGAGACGGAAGGAACAGUUGGUAGUAUUGGGCAGUAAACUGUCCCAACAUAACCAGCUGGCCAAACUGGGAAUCCCCCUGGGAGGAAAGAGGGCUGAUGCCUUCUCUUGCUCAGUCACCCAUGUGGUGGUACCAGACGGGCCGAUGCCCACCACCCUGUUCUCUCUCCUGGGUCUCCUGAACGGUUGCUGGGUCCUCAACUUCAGCUGUAAAUAACCUAAGGCCCAAUAAAAUCUGCUUUGCAGAGAAUGAGGAUGGAAUCACGGAAUCCAGACAUUAAAACGGACUUCAACAAUAUUCCAAAAUGUAUUGAACUGAACAAAAUACAUGUAAAGUGUUGGUCCCAUUUUUUUAUGAGCUGAAAUAAAAGAUCCCAGAAAUGUUCCAUACGCA
This 7848-nucleotide long non-coding RNA is filed under the name Salmo salar (Atlantic salmon). Its description in RNAcentral is "lncRNA (ENSSSAG00000117620.1)". The record is from RNAcentral. Lineage: Eukaryota; Metazoa; Chordata; Actinopteri; Salmoniformes; Salmonidae.